GUCUAUACUGUACCCAUUUUCUUCAAGUUAUAGUGCAUGAUCCAAGAUCUUGACAGUUUUGUCAACUUUAUACAUAAAAAUGUUGGUCUAUAGAAAAUGUGUCACAAAGUCAUUGCUUUCUAUAAAAUGCCAUCAGUGUUAACAUUGCAUAACAUGAUACAAUUUGAGACAGGGACUUUCUUCUUAGUCUGAAUGAUCAACUGGACAAUACAAAAUACUUAUUUAAGUCUUGUAUAAAAUGAAGUUAUGCUGAAAUACUAUGUAUGUGUCUUGAUUUAGUAUAUUCAGCAAAAACUUAGGAAACUCCUAAAGUGUCUGCAUCGUUCUACGUCAGCCAUAACAAAGUUGUACAAAGUAUGCCGCUAAACUAAGAUUUUGAUUGUUGAUAAAAUGUUGACAGUGGUACAUGUAGGUAGGGAUAGACUUUUUGUUGUCUAGAAGGGGGGCUUCUUGUUUGUUUGUGGUAGGAUGAGUUUUUCUUUAAAAAAUAUUUUGUAUGUUUUCAAGAGAUGCACACUAAGAAUGUGAAGUGAAUGAAAUUCUGAUUUUUGUGACCUUCCUUUCCUUAUGCUGUAGUUUAAGAACCUUCCACCUGCAACUACAUUAUACAUGUACGUACCCAUUCCUGACCAGUACUGAACCUCUCCUUCCACUACCCACAAGCAGUACUGUAAAGGCAAAAUGGUUAGCACUGGGUUUAUGUUCACAGUUUCCGUGUUGGUCUCUUCACCAUGAAGGAAAACCAUCACAAAUUUUCUGUCUCCUGCCUGCCUUUUCUCUUUGUUCAACUGUGAAUUUCAAGCCACAAACCCCUUUUUCUCCCUUACGAGGAGUGAACUACCCGCAAAGAUUUCAAAAACUACCCGCAAAGAUUUCCCCUUUUGCUGUACCUCUCCCCUAAUCAGCGAUCUUUCCGUCCCCCGAGGCGCUUCCUCCCCAACACUCCAGACACGGCUCUAAUGAACUUUAAUUAAAUGUUUACUUUCCUCAUACAAUGGAACAGGAACGCUGUCUUGUGUCACUUUACGAGCGUGGGUGUCAUUUGACAAUUGUUGAGUUUGACGUUUGAGGAAAAUUUAUUAGUCUCUUCUGCCAGGUGUGUUUUUUUUUAUGAGUUUGUCUGUUGAAGAAGAGUGUUAAAAAGAUUAAGAGUAGAAUAUUUGUGGUUUAAGUCACAGCAGGUGUUCCAUAGGUGUUUACAGAUAGGAGAAACUUGAACAAAAAGAACUAAUUUUUGUGUGAAAUACGUGACUGUACAAAAAGUUGAUAAAACAAUACAUGUAAACCAAAGUUUUGCCGCUUUUUGACAACCUGUCACAUUCUCCAAGCAGAGGUUACGGUGGAGGUCACGGUAUAGUAGCACGUUUUUUCUUUACCUGCAUCCCUCCAGGUAGCAGCUGAAAAAAAUCGCAGCUACUACCAUAACAUCUGCUUGGAGAAUAAACCUUUCAUAGCUGUCCAUAGAAAAGCUAUAUUUAUGUGCUUGUCAUUACAUGUACAAGUCAUAAAUGUAAACUUGUGUGCUGACUUGUCCAGUUAAGUUACGUAAAUGAAGCUUAGACAUGCUGCUAGUACAUUACAUAUUACGUGUAAUUCUACAAGGUUGCUUUUCAAAACAACUUUCAAAAUAGGUUGUUGUACAAAAUAAAUUAAGCUACUGGAUAAUUUCUCUAGAGUCCAAUCUUUCAGAUAGCGUCACUAUGAUCUUUCAUCUGUGACUUAUCUCAUCUUCAGGCGCUCAUGCAAGAUAUAAGUGGUUGCUAUCUGAAAUGUCUGAAUCCCUGGAGAAUUUAUCCAGUCUUGUUAGUGCUUGAUUUAUUUUGGCACAGUAUCUAAUUUACAAUCUGUAAACUGUAAAGCCACAACAAUUUAAUUCCUUGGUUCACGGAUUCGCUCGCUCCUAUUUUUUGGG
Long non-coding RNA from Branchiostoma floridae (Florida lancelet), 1912 nucleotides. RefSeq lists it as uncharacterized. The transcript has 2 exons. NCBI's taxonomy places the organism in Eukaryota, Metazoa, Chordata, Leptocardii, Amphioxiformes, Branchiostomatidae. The record is from RefSeq and is a predicted model, not a curated record.